CGGAGCCACCGGGGAAUCCUGGGCCGAUCAGCUGGAGAGAGGAGCGAACCACUGCCGGAGAGGGGGGCUGUGUGGUUGAUCUGGACGGCCCCAAAGUUAAACUGACGUGUUUGUGCUGGAUUAAAAAAAAAAUACAGGAGGAACUACUUCCAUCAGCAGCUGGAGAUGCAUGGUGAUGGGUCCUACGUGGAGGUGAAAGGUCACAUCAUCACUAUUGAGCGGUGAAGCAGCUUCCAUUGGCAGAGCCGAAUGUAGAGAAGACAACAAAGAGAGGAACCAUCCAUGACAGAGGGUAAAGGACUCUGUCUCCAAAAGUCUAAGGAGGGACAAACAAAUCCUUUAGAUAAGAUAAGGAAGUGAAGUAAAUGAAUACUUAGCUGUUACUGACGUGUGACCAAAUAUUCUCCAGAAUAGACUUAUGUUAGCGUCCUCUAAUUGUUGUAUGUUAAUCUUUUAUUCU
This is a long non-coding RNA of Larimichthys crocea (large yellow croaker), 460 nucleotides long. RefSeq lists it as uncharacterized. The record is from RefSeq and is a predicted model, not a curated record. NCBI's taxonomy places the organism in Eukaryota, Metazoa, Chordata, Actinopteri, Sciaenidae. The transcript is spliced from 3 exons.